ACGGGAGGCAGCAGUAGGGAAUUUUCGGCAAUGGGGGCAACCCUGACCGAGCAAUGCCGCGUGAAUGAUGAAAUUCUUCGGAAUGUAAAGUUCUGUUAUUAGGGAAGAAUGAUAGUGAUAGGAAAUGAUCAUUAUUUGACGGUACCUAAUUAGAAAGCCCCGGCUAACUAUGUGCCAGCAGCCGCGGUAAUACAUAGGGGGCGAGCGUUAUCCGGAAUUAUUGGGCGUAAAGCGUGCGUAGGCGGUUUAUUAAGUCUGGUGUAAAAUCCCACAGCUUAACUGUGGCGGGCAUUGGAAACUGGUAAACUUGAGUACGGUAGAGGUAAGUGGAAUUCCAAGUGAAGCGGUGGAAUGCGUAGAUAUUUGGAGGAACACCAGUGGCGAAGGCGGCUUACUGGGCCGGAACUGACGCUGAGGCACGAAAGCGUGGGGAGCAAACAGGAUUAGAUACCCUGGUA
RNAcentral lists this ribosomal RNA (458 nucleotides) under uncultured Acholeplasma sp. Its description in RNAcentral is "partial 16S ribosomal RNA". It matches the Rfam family "Bacterial small subunit ribosomal RNA", at positions 341 to 792 of the family's 1533-position model. The record is from RNAcentral. Lineage: Bacteria; Bacillati; Mycoplasmatota; Mollicutes; Acholeplasmatales; Acholeplasmataceae.